CCCCUGGAGCUCAGUUGGUACAGCGCUCCACCUGUAAUCGAGAAGUCCCGAGUUCGAUACCCGGACCAGGCGG
This 73-nucleotide transfer RNA is filed under the name Ixodes scapularis (black-legged tick). RNAcentral describes it as "tRNA-Thr for anticodon UGU". The record is from RNAcentral. Lineage: Eukaryota; Metazoa; Arthropoda; Arachnida; Ixodida; Ixodidae.